This 254-nucleotide ribosomal RNA is filed under the name uncultured bacterium. RNAcentral describes it as "partial 16S ribosomal RNA". It matches the Rfam family "Bacterial small subunit ribosomal RNA", at positions 524 to 776 of the family's 1533-position model. The record is from RNAcentral.
UACGUAGGGUGCGAGCGUUGUCCGGAAUUAUUGGGCGUAAAGGGCGCGUAGGCGGUCGUGACAAGUCACUUGUGAAAUCUCCGGGCUUAACUCGGAACGGUCAAGUGAUACUGUCGGACUAGAGUACAGAAGGGGCAACUGGAAUUCUCGGUGUAGCGGUGAAAUUCGUAGAUAUUCGCAAGAACACCAGUGGCGAAGGCGGCUCACUGGCCCGGUACUGACGCUGAGGUGCGAAAGCGUGGGGAGCAAACAGG